CAGUCGCCGCGGUAAUACGAGGGGGGCAAGCGUUGUUCGGAAUUAUUGGGCGUAAAGGGCGCGUAGGCGGUUUGACAAGUCUGAUGUGAAAUCUAUGGGCUCAACCCAUAGCCUGCAUUAGAAACUGUCGGGCUUGAGUAUGGGAGAGGUGAGUGGAAUUUCCGGUGUAGCGGUGAAAUGCGUAGAUAUCGGAAGGAACACCUGUGGCGAAAGCGGCUCACUGGACCAUAACUGACGCUGAGGCGCGAAAGCUAGGGGAGCAAACAGGAUUAGAGACCCCUGUAGUCCCUGUCUCUUAUAC
This 301-nucleotide ribosomal RNA is filed under the name uncultured bacterium. Its description in RNAcentral is "partial 16S ribosomal RNA". It matches the Rfam family "Bacterial small subunit ribosomal RNA", at positions 509 to 807 of the family's 1533-position model. The record is from RNAcentral.